AAUAUUGGUCAAUGGGCGCAAGCCUGAACCAGCCAUCCCGCGUGAAGGAAGAAGGCGCUAUGCGUUGUAAACUUCUUUUCCAGGGGGAGAAUUUUUCCGUCGUGACGGGAAUUGACGGUACUCUGGGAAUAAGCAUCGGCUAACUCCGUGCCAGCAGCCGCGGUAAUACGGAGGAUGCGAGCGUUAUCCGGAUUUAUUGGGUUUAAAGGGUGCGUAGGCGGAUUGAUAAGUCAGUGGUGAAAGGCUGCAGCUUAACUGUAGACGUGCCGUUGAUACUGUCAGUCUUGAGUAUGGUCAAGGCAGGCGGAAUGUGUAAUGUGGCGGUGAAAUACUUAGAUAUUACACAGAACACCGAUUGCGAAGGCGGCUUGCUGGGCCAUCACUGACGCUCAUGCACGAGAGCGUGGGGAUCGAACAG
Molecule: ribosomal RNA, 418 nt
Filed under: uncultured bacterium
Lineage: Bacteria
Description: bacterial SSU rRNA
Rfam family: Bacterial small subunit ribosomal RNA
Source: RNAcentral